Molecule: unclassified non-coding RNA, 7990 nt
Filed under: Pectinophora gossypiella (pink bollworm)
Lineage: Eukaryota; Metazoa; Arthropoda; Insecta; Lepidoptera; Gelechiidae
Description: phosphatidylinositol 3,4,5-trisphosphate 3- phosphatase and dual-specificity protein phosphatase PTEN
Source: RNAcentral
GAGAGCAAGCUAGCCACCUAGAAAUUAAGGUUGUGUUUUAUCUCUGUCGCUCGCGCGUGGUGGCCGUCGGAGCGCGAAUGGGAUGUCAAAUGCAAUUUCGGCCAUCAUAACCAUCUUUUCUUUCUUGUGCAACUGUUUCUCUUCGGCCGUGUUCUAGUGCAAACGCAGGAUGGACGCCAUUCGCGCGAGAUAAGUUUUCCGUUCGCUGGAGAAGCGAUAGUGACAAGUGCAUACGCUGCGUGCCGGGUUUGGAGCUAUGCUAUAGUGGUGUGGUCGUGUCGGUGAUCGGCCUGGCGCCUGGUUCAUUGUGGAGUGGUGCGGCGGCGUGUGGAAGGCCCGCGCGGGAGCUCCGCGGCAGGCAUGGCGGGCGCGAGCUGAGCGGCCCUGGCGUGUGGCGCUCCGCCGCCGGCCCGAUGAGCGGGGCAGGCUUCCUACGGCGGAGGUUAUUUUAUGGGUAUUUGCGUGAGCUGCCGGCGCCGCGACCUGCAGGCUCCCGAAAAACGGGCUGGGGGCGCGGGCGGAGGCCGAGUGCCCGGUAAGGGCGCCACGGCCGAGCUGCUCCCGCGCCGUGCGGACCCCGCCAUGGCCAACUCCAUAUCCAACAUCAAGAUGACCAACCCUAUCAAGGGCAUCGUCAGCAAGCGCCGGAAACGGUACAUCAAGGACGGCUUCAACCUGGACUUAGCCUACAUAACAGACAGGCUGAUAGCGAUGGGAUUCCCCGCGGAGAAGCUGGAAGGAGUCUACAGAAACCACAUUGACGAGGUGUACAGGUUCCUGGAACAGAUGCACAAGGAUCACUACAAGAUAUACAACCUCUGCUCGGAGAGGUGCUACGACUCUAGCAAGUUCCACGGGCGGGUGGAACGAUACGCGUUCGAGGACCACACGCCGCCGAAGAUGGAGCUGAUACAGCCGUUUUGUGAGGACGUGCACAACUGGCUGAGUCUCGACCCGCGCAACGUAGCCGCCGUGCACUGCAAAGCGGGGAAGGGCCGCACCGGUACCAUGGUGUGCUGCUAUCUAUUAUAUAGCGGGCAAAAAGCUACAGCGGACGAAGCCCUCAAAUUCUACGGAACUAAAAGAACGCACGACGAAAAAGGCGUGACGAUUCCGUCACAGCGUCGCUACGUGGAAUACUACGCGGCUUUAGUCCGCUCGGGGCUCCAGUACCGAGCCCCGCGCCUGCACAUCCGCGAGCUGCUGAUGUGGCCGCCGCCGCACAACAACGGGACGUCGCACACGCUCGAGCUGGCCGUAAGCCAGGCCGAGCCACCGCUUAAGGCGCCAGCCGGCUCCCACGAAGUCCGUCGCCAUGAGAGCCACAUCCGCGUCGUCCUCGACCAGUGCACACCGCUACACGGGGACGUGCGCGUCGACGUGUACAACAAGCCCAAGAUGAUGAUGCGCAAGGAGAAGCUCUUCCACUUCUGGUUCAACACAUUCUUCGUGGCCAACUGCGUCGGCGCUGUCAGGAUACCGCCGCCCGCUGACAGCAUGAACCUCGAGACGUAUAAGCUGACGUUGAACAAGUGGCAGCUGGACGACGCGCACAAGGACAAGCAGCACAAGCUGUACAGUCCCGACUUCAAGGUGGAGCUGGUGGUGCAGAAGCAGCCGGACAGCUCGCGGUUCAGCGCGUGCGCGCGCGCGCCCGCCUCCCCCCCCUCGUCCCCCUCCAGCGACGACGACCACGACAGCCACUGGGACUCCGGUGAGCACUAUCCCCUCCCCGCCGCCCGCAUGGACGUCGACCACGUCUUCCAGCCCUUCCAGGCGGACCUGCCGGACCUGCCCGACCUGCUGGACUCCCGGAACAAAAAAUGCAAGCACCGGGUCCCGCUCGACGGGCCCGGCAUCUUCACCCGAGACGGAUACAUGUUGAUAGACAGAUCGAGGCCGCAGAAGGACUUUCUGCGCCUCUCCGAUCCGCAGGGGCACAAGUGUGACGCGGAAGUAGGUAAAUGUACCCGGUUGUCGGAUCCUACCGGCUCCCGGAAAGGGAAACAUAUGGGGACGGUCACCAAGGACGGGUAUAUGUUAGUGGACGCGACCCCCCGCCAGCCGCACCUCCGACCCGCCGAGCAUAAAAUAGUGAACGAAGCCACGGGGCUCCUCGCCUCGAACGUCGUCAGCAACGCCGAAGACGACUAUAUGGAGUUUUCGGCCACCGACGGCCAGAUGAAACCCGUCGAAGUAGAGUCGAAAAUGUCGACCUUCAACGAGGAUUACUACUUGUGUUCCGAAGUCAUGUCGAGCGCGAGGAGCGACCCUUGCGACGUGAAAAGCGGACAAUUAAACGAUAUAGAUAGUAAAUCGUCCGACGACAGUUCGGAAGCGAUUCAACUCGACUCGAAUUCGAGUCAAGCCAAAACCGAUAAAUCUGGCAAGAAUAAGAAACAUUCGUUUUUCAAAAGGGACGAUUAUAAAAACGAUAAGGGUAAAAUACCUAAAGUGUCUUCGGAUCAUACGAUAUCGGACGAUUCGAAGAAAAAGUACACGUUCUUCCAAAAGCGAGACGACGAAGGUACGAAACCUCGGCUCUCUCUCGGAGAUAUGAGGGCCUCUUGGAGGGAAUUUAGCGGCAAAUGGUCGGAGAACAGAAAGAAAAAGGACAGAGAAGAUUCUUGAGUAGUGUCUUGAGAGAAAGGGACUCUUAACAGGUUAGAUGGACUGAUGAUGAAGUGCCGAUAAAAAGUCGCAUUAGGACCUGUACAACUCAAAAAUCGUUAUAAAGUAGGAUACACAUGUGCGGUUAUAAUGUUGUAGUUGUUGAGUGAAUUCUCGGCUUAGGCCGCUUUUGAGCGGUCUAUAACAUUACUAGGGGUAUUCCUAAGUUUACGUCGAGUGCUAAAUCUUUGGAGGACGUUACAUAUACAGGCCAUUUAAAGAUAAAUGUAAUGAGUUUUUCUAAAGAAUUUAGAUGAUGCAUAUUGGUGCUGAUUACAGUAAAUACCAUCCGAGUUUAUUUUAAUCUAUAUCUGUCAUUAUCUUAUCCGCCGAAAAGGAAAGGGACGUGAAAUCGACAGGCAUAAAAUUUAUAGAACACAUGUCAAUUUAAGGCAGAAAUUUAAAAAAACCAUUGGCCAAUAUCCCGACAGAAUUAAGUUGACAGUACACGUCAAACGGAGUGCAUAUGAGCGAGAUGGCUAUUUUAUUUGCCCGUUAUCCGUCCCUUUUCUAUUUGGCGGAUAAGAAAACGACAGGUAUAAAUUAAAAUAAAAUUAAGUGUGCAGGAAUCGGGGCCUAUAAUGCGAUUUUUUUCUUAUGUUUGGAUUUUGUACCGCAAAAUAUCCGUUGCAUACAGUGUAGACACAAUAUAAUGUUACUAAUAUAACAAGUACGAGAGAGAGAGCAUCAUCGUUCUUUCUCACUCACACUCGUGUAACGCGCGUUUUCGAGAUACAAUAGUGUCUUCAGCACAAUACAUACAAAAUUAAUUCUAUAUCAUUUAAAUUGUAGUUUUAAAUGGUCGUAUGUUGUAACGUUCGCCUCAUUAGGUUCUAUUUAGUUAACGAUUUAGAUAAUGGGUCUUUGUUUGUGUGCAGCCGAUAUGUUGAUUUAUAAACGCUGGUGAUUUUGAUAAUAAUGGCUCUGACAAAUUUUCAAAAUAUCUCAAUUUUUACUAUUUAAAAGUCGAACGUGUUACAGAAAGCUUUAAUUUGUAAUUAAAUAAAAGUAUCUUGCAAAAAAAGUCGACACGAAAGGGAAAUCGACAAAUUGGUUAUUCACACACACUUCAGUGUGAUAUAUGUUCGGAAUUGGGGUAGGCAGAAGUACAGUAAUCAUGUUGAAUUAUGUACCCACGCCUCACCGAGCUUUCUAUCAGACCAACACUACUGGUACUGUAGUGUUUUCUGCAAAUUGUCGGUACAUAAUGAUUUUAACUCUUAACAUUUUCGGAAACUUCUACUGAGUUUUAACACAGUGUUACAUGGUUCAAUAAACUUCGAAUGUACGAAUAGUCUGCAAUUUUUUCAAUACUAUUUAUUAAAAUCACCUAUUUUCUAAAUCAAUCAAUCGGUGGCAAUACAAGACCAACUGGGCUGCAAAGUCCAUGUAUAAUGUAUAUAAAUAGUUUACUUAGAUACAGUUAUAUAUUUCGUUAGAGGGGAGGCGAGCUAGACACGUACUUGAUCUCUCGAAGCUGAUAGCGACAUAGGAACACGACGAAAUGCCUGUUUUUCGCAUCCGGGUCAACCAGAGUGCACGCUAUUUACGUAAAUACGACAUGUAUCGCGAUGGUUGAUGUAAAGAAUCAGCGUAUGCUGCCUAAAGCGUGUGUAAUGUAGAAGCGGUGUACGUGGAUUUCUAUCGAAGCGGAGCGAAGCGAAGAUGUGCUGUAUUCGACUCAACCACCGUGGGGGGAGACCGACAGAGCGUCUUCUCUCUCACUCUCUCGCACACUGUGGUUGGUGGAUUUGGGAUGUCUCCGCUCCGCUCCGCUUCAAUAGAAAUGCACUCUAAGGCACAGAGUAAAAGGUACUUUCCACGUAAACAGCACGUCAUGCGCAUCCUAUUGUCAACUGGCGAUUGCUUGCAUCUUCAGAACGGCAACACCGCAAGGCGAACGCAUGACGAUUCGGAGAUGCGACGUUGCCGUUCCGAAGAUGCAAGCUAUCGACAAUUAUUGGCGACAGCGUGCGCAUUUCAUGCGGUUUACGUGGACAGUAGGCCUAAGUAGAUAAACACGCAGCGUCUAUUGGUCGAAGCUUGCGACAUGUAUCGCGUCUACUUCAGUAGCGAGCGCUUUACUGCCGGGGCAAAUACAGGCAUUAUGACCUUAUAGGUCAUUAUGAUACGUAUACGCAUGCGGGCUAAUUUGCAUGACACUAAACCGGCACUAGAUGCGAAAGUGUUCAAAGACAUGCCUUGAAUCUUUGUGAUAUCCUUGUUAACAGCACAAGCGAAUUUAGGCGACUUUCAGUUCAUUUGUCAUAGUGUUAGGGAAAAUUCGACAUCAACUAUGAUAGAUAUUUUUACUCAGAACGAAAGUUUUUGUAGGAUAUUUCUGUCUAAAAAAAGUGUCUUCGCUAAGCGUUUUCUUAGGCAUACUUCUUAAAUGAAAGUUUGGAUGUCGAAAGAAAUCCUAUAUUUUAAACAAUUAUCGAAUACGUAGAAAUUAGAUCUGUUGAAACGUUGAAAGGAACGAUUGUUGUGGGUGAACAGGUGUGGUGAUAUUUUUUUAAUAAGAAUAGAAAAUGACUCUUGAAUAAGCUACGGAGAGUAAUUUGUGACCUAUUCAUAACACCGUAAUUUUAUUUUCGACUGAUCUUUCAUCACGGUGUAUCGUCAAGCGUACUUACAUUCUAUUUUUAUGGGAUUUCUUAAAUAUCUGAUUAUUUAAUUCAAAAUUGGAGCCGAUUCUAGCUUUUACCAAAAAUUUACUUUUACUUUUUUAUAAAAUUUUCAAUUCAUUUUGCACUACGUUCGAUAACCAUAUAUCAAAUCAUAAAUAUUUACGAAUCGAAACAUUUAUUUCAAAUGAAUAUUUUAUCUAAUAUUAAAUGAAUUUGUGAAAGCCAUUCUCAAUUUAAAUUUUCUUCGACAAUUCUAAAAGUAGCUCUAUCCCUUUCUUACAUUCAUUGUAUGUGAAUGAAGACGCUAUUUUUAGAGCUGUUAGACUUAAAAAAAGUUUUGUCUCCUGCAAUCGGCGCAAUGAUCAGCAUAAUUAAGGAAUUCUAUUCUCAUAGAGUGUAUUUAACCAGACGCGUCCCUGGCGUUAGUGGACUAUUGAGAGCAUACAUAUUAUGUCAUUCCCGUUAACCCGUUAAUAGACAUUCGCUUUCAUAGAUAUUCUUUAAUUUCUAGUAUCGUGCAAUUCUCAAACGGAAAAUUAAAUCGAAAAAAAAAACUGACUCGAACUCUCUUAGUGAGUUUCCCUAACCACAGAUGAGUAAAAAAUCGUGUAAUUCUGUUAGUCAGUUUUGACUGAUGAUGAAGAAUAAUAAUAGUAUUUAUUAUAACACUUUAUUGCACAUACAUUCACAAGACAUUUACAGGAAAACUCGAAAUAAUUUAAUGAUUCUAAAUAUAAAUAUACCUUUAUAGUUUCAAGCACAGAAUAAUGUAACUAAUAGAUUUUCGUGGAAUUCUAAGCUUUUUUCUAUCGUGUGGGUUGUAAGGUCAACGGCCGACCUCACCCUGGUGUCAGGUUAUUCUCACUCGCCAUCACACGAGUCAGUCAACAGAUUUGUGACACCAAACAAAUAAUUUGGAUUCAUUCCAAAGAGGAAGCGAAGUUUAUCGACACGAAAAAGAUUUUUUUGUAACAUCUACUUCUUAUGACAAUAAAAUUUGAGAGAAAGAGCCAAGAUAUUAUCCGGUAUUAUUAGAUCUACCAAAGUACAGAAGGCAGUGUUGUGACGUUCUUUAGUACAGUGAUGUAUCAGUCCAUGGUAUAAGAAAACCAGGUAUGCUCAAAAAUGACAGCUAAUAUGUCAAGGUUAGCCCAGCUGGCGUCAUUCAUUCCACUAUGCGUUGCCAUUUUGUAAAAAAAUUAAUUACCCACGACCAAUGUAUGUUGUUUUAUAUUUACAAGGAUAUUUUGAACUUUUAGUAAAAGAUUUACUUACAGUUUUAAUUAUUACAUUGGUGCUAAUUCCUGUAAAUACCAUCUAAUUUUAUUUUAAGUUAUAUCUGUCAUUUUCUUAUCCGCCGAAAAGGAAAAGGACGGGUAAUCGACAAGCAUAAAAUUUAUGGAACACACGUCAAUUUUAAGCACAAAUCUAAACCAACCGUCUAAAAAUUUUACAUCCGUCAAUAACCCGAUACAGUUAAGUAGACAGCACGUCAAACGGAUUGCAUACCAGCGACGUACCUUUUGAUUCGCCCGGGUUAUUCAUUCAUUUACUCAUUCUUCCUAAAAUUAAGAGCUGUGAAUCAUCCGUCCCUUUCCUUUUCGACGGAUAUGAAAAUGACGGAUAUAACUUAAAAUAAAAUUAGGCGGUGUCUGCAGGAAUCGGGGCCAUUAUAUCAGUAAUUCACUUAACUUUCAAUAAUAAAAUUUACAUCCUUGGAAUGUUGGAGAUACCAAUUUAAUGGUAACACAUACGUCAUUAAUGAGCUAGUAAUGGCGGCUUGUCAUAGGGUUGAGCAUACCUGGUUCUCUUAUACCAUGUAUCAUUCGAGAUUAGGUCAAUCGAUCCUGUUUUACAUACAUACUUACACCAGUCUGUGAUGUGGGUAUAACCACUUGUAAUCAGGACUUGUAGACACUGGCAGUGAUAGGUAUGCUCGCAAUAGUCCGCGGCUCCGGGCGCGUGGGCGCGUGGUCCGUGUGGUGACGUGGUGUGGUGUUGCGCAGGCGCGCCGGUGGAGCGCGUGGGCCGCUACCGCCAGCUGUCGCCCGAGCACGCGCCGCACACGUGAAUCUACAUACUUGUGAUGGUGACGUGGUGGCGUGCACCCCCGCUUUGCUCCACCGGGGCCCUUAACUCACGGCCAUAUACUAGCGACACUUCGACACAAACAGACAGAAAUCCCCAAAAAGCCAUGUAUAUAAAAUUGGUUGAGGUACUAUGGAGGGAAGGCGUUAGAAAACGUUCCCCAAUCCUGAAUUUUCGUUAUUUUCUUAACUUUGAACUAUUGAAAAGAAAAAAGCGAGAAUUCUUCUUCAUUUUGAAUUUGCUGAUUUGGAACGCAUUCUUGAAACUAACAACUGACUCAUUGUAAAUGUUUGCAUGAAUUGUGAAUAUGUCAUCAUAACAUGCUCCCUUGCUUUUCAGUGAUCUAUCGGCUGCAUAUUUCGAAAUAACUUACCUUACACACUAUAUUUAAUUUACACUUUCCAAUUAGAGAAUACUUGAAAAUUUUACUGAGUUUUAUGAUCUUAGUAAUAGAGGGGUUAAAUUCGUCGUUUCAUUGCUAUCCGUUGGCGUUUUCUAGCGACGAUUUUCAAUGAUAGCAUUGAAUGUCAAACAGGUUUCGUUCGAGUAAUCUUAUUCGCUGGCGAUUUCUAUCGUAACCCGGUAUCAGGUAUUUAUUUGUG